Molecule: long non-coding RNA, 784 nt
Filed under: Homo sapiens (human)
Lineage: Eukaryota; Metazoa; Chordata; Mammalia; Primates; Hominidae
Description: long intergenic non-protein coding RNA 467
Source: RNAcentral
GGCGUAGGCCGGACAUUUCUAGUCGACUGUUGCGCGUGCGCGCGCUGUGACGUUCCCUACGCGGUCGGGCGUUGGGUUUCGCGGCGCUCGCCGCACUGGUUGUUCAGCACCUUCGGUCCGGUUGAGGUUGUCAAGUCGGACCAAACAGGUUGUUUCUCUGCAGUUUCCAACAUGGCAGGGAGGUUUAAUAGACAUGGAUAAGAAGUCCACUCACAGAAAUCCUGAAGAUGCCAGGGCUGGCAAAUAUGAAGGUAAACACAAACGAAAGAAAAGAAGAAAGCAAAACCAAAACCAGCACCGAUCCCGACAUAGAUCAGUGACGUCUUUUUCUUCAGAUGAUCCUAUGUUUCCUUCUUCCUCAUCAUCGUCUUCAGGAAGCCAGACAGAUUCAAGUAUUGAAGAUGCUGCCAAGGGAAAAAUUAAGAAGAAGAGAAGAGAGAAAACAAAUAAAUGGGAAAAAAGAAAGGACAAAAUAUGAAACACCAAGAAAAAGAGAAGGAAAAAAAGGAGGAAACAACCACAUAUGUCACCUUUCCAAGGCCACAGGAAAUGGAGUCUGAAAUAAAGCCACUGUAUCUAAAACAUUUAUUUAAUGGUAAAACUUGAUGAUUAAUAGUAUUAUUAGCGUUUUAAAGACUAUAUGUUUAGAGUUUGAAGUAAAGCUCCAGUGUUAAUUUAACUUACUUUUCAAGGCUUAACGUGUUCUCAUCUAAAAACAAUGAUGUCCAAAAUUUCUGUUUUCUACUGUAAGUAUUAUGUAUAAUAAAAUAGGUAGUAAAUCUAU